CUCAAAGAUUAAGCCAUGCAAGUGGUUAUUUAACCCGACAGUUUAACUAAGUGUUAUCAUCGAUACGCAUCACAACAAUACACACAUAUAUGACAGUGAAACUAUAUACGCAUUUCACUUACGCAACUGCAGACAGCUGCUUAAUACAGUCACACUUGUCUUGACUUGGCUAUUGCAUAUAUCUCUCUUAUGAGAGUAUACGCUAACGACACACAUCGUAGUAAUACGUGAUUUCUCAUAACUGAGAAAGCCGUGUGCAUUACACGCGCGCGCGCUUGAAUCAGUCUCCAUCAACUUAAUGGAUAACUCAGGGAAAGUUUGGCUAAUACGUACGAGUUUCACCACAAUAUUACAUACACACGAUAUACUCAGCACUCAAUGGUAAACUUGUGCAUCUGCGUACUUUUGUCUUCGGACAGUGCGCUUAUGUACGAUUCGUUUAACUGCAACAUGAGAGACAUUGAGCACGCAGUCUUUCGAUCCUUUGUGAUUGAUUGACACUAUACGCUGAGCAGACUUURAGAUUCUUYACUAUCUUCGAAGCAUGUCWUACAAGCAUCUACAGCAUCAAGUCACAGGGUUGGCAAGUGUAUUAUUGAACCUUCAAAGCAGUCACGCAUACGGAAGAGUAGUUUCUGAUCCCAUAGAAGGAGCACCGUACAAUGAGAGACCGCUCUUAGUUCUAAGGAACGCAGCAGGCGCGUAAAUUGCCCAAUGCUAGUACCCUACUAUUGCAUUACAUUACGCAGACAACUAAUAAUGUUGACUAAUUAAUAAUAAACGCACGUUUAACUAUCUGUCACAAAUACAUACUAUUUAACCUUGUCUACAAACUGUAAUACUCUUUAAUUUCAUUUACUGAGGCAGUGACAAGCUGUAACGGUUGAGUAUAAUAAUGACGAGUGUCUGGCAUUGCCGCUGCCUUCGGGUAAGCUUGGCAAUUUUGCCGACGCUUUGUGUGCUCAAUUGGAAUGCGGUGAGUUUAAGCAACUCAGAACCUUUGGAUGGUAGUUCGUUUCGUUCUACUCUCUGAGUAUCUGAAUCUUCAAGUGGAGGGCAAGUCUGGUGC
RNAcentral lists this ribosomal RNA (1069 nucleotides) under Rosalina sp. 3675. RNAcentral's name for it is "SSU rRNA". It matches the Rfam family "Eukaryotic small subunit ribosomal RNA", at positions 36 to 569 of the family's 1831-position model. The record is from RNAcentral. Lineage: Eukaryota; Foraminifera; Rotaliida; Rosalinidae.